AUACUAUGUACUAACUAUACCACAACUUUAUAAGACAAACCAUAAUCAGAUUAGUAAUGCCAAAAAAAUUCUGACUUUUCUAGACUACCGCAAGGUACACUAAAACUAUAACCCUAGAAGUGACUAACUCACCUACCUUUUGCAUAAUGUAAUUGCAAGAACAAAAGAUUUAUCUAUCCUUUCCCGAAAAGUGGAGAGCUACUACAAACAUUUAACCAUUAAUGUAACACUAUUAAAACACAGUUUAUAGUAGCAGCAAAAUACCUAUCGAGCCACUUGAUAGCUGGUUGUCCCUUAAAGACAUAUAAGUGUCUUUUUACAGAAAAAAAUAAAAUAAUUCUUCUGUAAAAAAAACUCUAAGAAGGACAAGCCCCUUAGAGCCCCUAGAAAUAGCAGAAUAAUAACACCUCAGAAAGGCUUAAAAACAGCCAAAAAUAUCCGUUAUAGGAAAUGACACUAAAAAUCAAAAUAAAUUACUAAAUUCUUAACCAUCAAGGAACCUUACAGACUAACCAACCCUUUAAUGAACCGGCAAUUAUUAGUAUCACAAAGUUUAUUAAAAAGGUUCAUCCAAUAUAAAUAAAACAACCUAAAAAUAACUCUAACACUUUAAUUUACCUUUGGUAAUGAACUCGGCAAAACUUUUCUCUGCCUGUUUAUCAAAAACAUCGUCUUUUGCCAUUACACCCAUAAAAGAUACUGCC
Molecule: ribosomal RNA, 704 nt
Filed under: Unio pictorum (painter's mussel)
Lineage: Eukaryota; Metazoa; Mollusca; Bivalvia; Unionida; Unionidae
Description: partial 16S ribosomal RNA
Source: RNAcentral